Molecule: ribosomal RNA, 497 nt
Filed under: uncultured bacterium
Lineage: Bacteria
Description: partial 16S ribosomal RNA
Rfam family: Bacterial small subunit ribosomal RNA
Source: RNAcentral
GACGAACGCUGGCGGCGUGCCUAAUACAUGCAAGUUGAGCGAUGAAGAUUGGUGCUUGCACCAAUUUGAAGAGCGGCGAACGGGUGAGUAACGCGUGGGGAAUCUGCCUUUGAGCGGGGGACAACAUUUGGAAACGAAUGCUAAUACCGCAUAACAACUUUAAACAUAAGUUUUAAGUUUGAAAGAUGCAAUUGCAUCACUCAAAGAUGAUCCCGCGUUGUAUUAGCUAGUUGGUGAGGUAAAGGCUCACCAAGGCGAUGAUACAUAGCCGACCUGAGAGGGUGAUCGGCCACAUUGGGACUGAGACACGGCCCAAACUCCUACGGGAGGCAGCAGUAGGGAAUCUUCGGCAAUGGACGAAAGUCUGACCGAGCAACGCCGCGUGAGUGAAGAAGGUUUUCGGAUCGUAAAACUCUGUUGGUAGAGAAGAACGUUGGUGAGAGUGGAAAGCUCAUCAAGUGACGGUAACUACCCAGAAAGGGACGGCUAACUACGUG